CACUAAAUCAUCACUUGAAAUAACCAUAACAUUGUCAAAACAUCAUCUAUUCAAUCAUCACAAAUCUACAUCCCAACACUACCAUCUGGAUCAUUACCAGCAUACAAAAACAUCACAACACUAUAUAUCAUCUGAAACACUACCAGACUGAUCAAGAUUCACUACUACUUAAGACUUUAUCAAACAAUAUCAGCAUACAAAUUUCACUACCACUUAGACUUUAUCAAGAUUCACUAUCAUCUGGAACAAUACCAGCAUACAAAAUUCACUACCACUUAGCUUUUUGGGCAUCAUAUAUUCAAUCACUGGAAACUUCCAACAAAUAGUAUCAUCAAAAUACAUGGUGAAUCAAAUCCACAAUAAUAUCUCAUAAAUCAUUUACAAUAUCUAAUCACCUAAAAUAUCCAAUCACCAACCCAUCCUAGAAAAAUAAUUAAUCCAUAAAAAAAACAUUGUGGUAAAUUCCCAAAAGCCACCAAC
Molecule: long non-coding RNA, 480 nt
Filed under: Citrus maxima (pomelo)
Lineage: Eukaryota; Viridiplantae; Streptophyta; Magnoliopsida; Sapindales; Rutaceae
Description: long non-coding RNA (CMAX_LNC001304)
Source: RNAcentral